GCAGCCAGAGAGGCUUCGUUCAGGUUCAGGAGGCGAUGCGCCUGUUCGCUCGUGCGUCGUUUUAAACCCGGUGGGUAGACGCCGGGCGGAGUGGUGCAUCUCUUCAGCAAUCCAGUUUCGUAGCCAGCCAACGUCGGUCGGCCGUCGCCCAGCAGGGCGGCGGGGAAGGUUUCUUUCCGUGCCUCCUUGUGGGGCCUUGGGAAGGGGUUAUAGCCACGCCGUUCGGAAGUGGACGGGCGACCGAGGACUGUCGCAACCCCUUUGCGCAGGCACUGCGGGCCCCUUGCGGGCCGGAUCGCCCCUGCUCGUCCGGGAAGCGCGGAGGCCGACUGNNNGCNNUGUUCUCNGACGCUUGUUCAGUUCGGGCGGGGGAUCGGUCGCGACUGCAGUGAUG
RNAcentral lists this ribosomal RNA (394 nucleotides) under Demospongiae sp. GW3328. RNAcentral's name for it is "partial 28S large subunit ribosomal RNA". Lineage: Eukaryota; Metazoa; Porifera; Demospongiae. The record is from RNAcentral.